This 497-nucleotide ribosomal RNA is filed under the name uncultured bacterium. RNAcentral's name for it is "partial 16S ribosomal RNA". It matches the Rfam family "Bacterial small subunit ribosomal RNA", at positions 28 to 507 of the family's 1533-position model. The record is from RNAcentral.
GAUGAACGCUGGCGGCGUGCCUAAUACAUGCAAGUCGAGCGAACGGACGAGAAGCUUGCUUCUCUGAUGUUAGCGGCGGACGGGUGAGUAACACGUGGAUAACCUAUCUAUAAGACUGGGAUAACUUCGGGAAACCGGAGCUAAUACCGGAUAAUAUUUUGAACCGCAUGGUUCAAAAGUGAAAGACGGUCUUGCUGUCACUUAUAGAUGGAUCCGCGCUGCAUUAGCUAGUUGGUAAGGUAACGGCUUACCAAGGCAACGAUGCAUAGCCGACCUGAGAGGGUGAUCGGCCACACUGGAACUGAGACACGGUCCAGACUCCUACGGGAGGCAGCAGUAGGGGAUCUUCCGCAAUGGGCGAAAGCCUGACGGAGCAACGCCGCGUGAGUGAUGAAGGUCUUCGGAUCGUAAAACUCUGUUAUUAGGGAAGAACAUAUGUGUAAGUAACUGUGCACAUCUUGACGGUACCUAAUCAGAAAGCCACGGCUAACUACGUG